AUGAGUAUACUUUCAGGGCUCAUUUCUAUAGUUUGUUACCAGUAUAUUGGGUGGUCACAACUUCGUGUGUACUGGAAAUAACCACAUGAGAUAUUGAGAGUUUAUAGAUGGCUUAAACUCUAUUGAUUAUGUUCUAUUUCUUUAGCUGGGAAGUAGGUAUACAGA
Molecule: small nucleolar RNA, 165 nt
Filed under: Rhinolophus ferrumequinum (greater horseshoe bat)
Lineage: Eukaryota; Metazoa; Chordata; Mammalia; Chiroptera; Rhinolophidae
Description: Small nucleolar RNA U3 (ENSRFEG00010012907.1)
Rfam family: Small nucleolar RNA U3
About the family: Small nucleolar RNAs (snoRNAs) are involved in the processing and modification of rRNA in the nucleolus. There are two main classes of snoRNAs: the box C/D class, and the box H/ACA class.
Source: Rfam by way of RNAcentral